Alligator mississippiensis (American alligator) is the source of this 193-nucleotide small nuclear RNA. It matches the Rfam family "U2 spliceosomal RNA". From Rfam's summary of the family: U2 is a small nuclear RNA (snRNA) component of the spliceosome (involved in pre-mRNA splicing). Complementary binding between U2 snRNA (in an area lying towards the 5' end but 3' to hairpin I) and the branchpoint sequence (BPS) of the intron results the bulging out of an unpaired adenosine, on the BPS, which initiates a nucleophilic attack at the intronic 5' splice site, thus starting the first of two transesterification reactions that mediate splicing. Lineage: Eukaryota; Metazoa; Chordata; Crocodylia; Alligatoridae. The record is from Rfam.
AUUUCUUUCUUUCGCCUCUUGGCCCAGAUCAAGUGUAGUUCCUGUUCUUAUCAGCUGUAAUAUCUGAUACGUCCUCCAUUGGAGGCUGUGUAUUGAGCACAUUUUUGGUCCUGGGAGGUGGAACCGGAGCUUGCUCCAUCCCCUCCAUGCAUCAGCCUGGUAUUACAGUGCUUCUUUCUUUCUUUCUUUCUUU